This 254-nucleotide ribosomal RNA is filed under the name uncultured prokaryote. Its description in RNAcentral is "partial 16S ribosomal RNA". It matches the Rfam family "Bacterial small subunit ribosomal RNA", at positions 524 to 776 of the family's 1533-position model. The record is from RNAcentral.
UACGGGGGGGGCAAGCGUUGUUCGGAAUUACUGGGCGUAAAGGGUUCGUAGGUGGCCAACUAAGUCAGACGUGAAAUCCCUCAGCUUAACUGGGGAACUGCGUCUGAUACUGGUCUGGCUUGAGUGCAGGAGAGGAACGCGGAAUUCCAGGUGUAGCGGUGAAAUGCGUAGAUAUCGGGAGGAACACCUGUGGCGAAAGCGGCUCACUGGACCAUUACUGACGCUGAUGCACGAAAGCUAGGGGAGCAAACAGG